This is a long non-coding RNA of Malaclemys terrapin pileata, 3698 nucleotides long. RefSeq lists it as uncharacterized. Lineage: Eukaryota; Metazoa; Chordata; Testudines; Emydidae. The transcript is spliced from 2 exons. The record is from RefSeq and is a predicted model, not a curated record.
UCUUCCCUUCAAGACCUUAAGGUAGUUGGAGCUGGUCCCAAGCCGGUUUUCACUGACCAGAUAGCAAAAGCACGGGUCUGACAACCACCAAUCAAGUGUUAACACUGCAAGGACCUUUGUCUGAAUGUGUAUAAAGGAUCGGUAAAAUGUGUGUAAGACAGAGUUUUUGUACUAAGGUGCAAAGCUCUCCUUUCUUCUGCAGAAUAAAGCAGCUCUUCCUUAUCCCUGUCUGGCUGUUAUUGGCUCUCGGCUAGGUGGACCCGAUAUUUCGGUAACAGUUUCUAGCGACUCCGCCGGGACUCUCCUAGCUCGGACAUUGGACUCCGGAUGGCUGUGGCAAAUUGGGAACGGCGCCAAUGGGGUGUUUCGCCCCUUUUCUCUGCUUCACCGCAGCCCCUGGGGUUCGUGUUCUGAUAAGGUGAGUCCUAAUAGGAUAAGGAGACACUAUCUGGUUCUGGUCUGGUUAACCGGUUAAUGAAUUUCUGUCUUAUACAUUUGGGCGUUAGGUGUGUGGAAGGAACUGAGCCUCUCAUUCGUAAUUCCUCAGAGUAGAAGCCAUCGCGUGCGAUGAAGCUCUGAGGUCGAAUUGGGAUCCUUCUGUCCCGUCCCCUGUAGCGGUCAGUAUUAGUAGAAAUUCCUGUAAUAGGAUCCUAUUAGGCCAUAAUUCCCUCUGUUCUCUGUGUAAUUCUCUGUUAGAGUAUCAGCAGGCAGAUGGGUGGGUCUCUGGUAAAACCCUCUGAGGAUAGCCCUUUAAAUUAUAUGUUAAGUAAAUGGUCUUUACCCGGUGUUUAAAAAGAAAUAGUUACACCUUGUGUAGAAAUUGAUGUGGCUAGUGUUGUGGAAAUUGAAUUGUGGAGAGGAUGUGCAUUUUCCCCAGAACAUGUGCAGUGUAUAUUGUAGCAGAGGUAAAAGAAAUGCAAACCUACCAAUAUAGGUUGUGUUGUCUUUUUCAGAUCACUGGGUGUUUGAAAGCAGGAGUUAGAAGUAAAAGGCAAUCAAAAGUCUGGGAAAGUUAAUUGUGUCCUUUUUUUUAAGUAAGAAUCUUUAAGCUGUGGAUAGCUUUGGAUCUGGAAGCAAGCCAGAAAGCAUCUGUAUUAAUGUAAUUUUCUAACGAAUAAAGUAGAAGCCACUGAAACCUGGGCUGCCUAUGAAAUAAAUACAAGGAAAUAUGGGGUAAUUCUGUUUUGCCUAAAAUCAACAAGAGUAUGUGUAUAUAAAGGAAAUAUUUUAAGCAAUGACUGACUGCCCAGAAGGGGUAGACCUCUGUUCUUUUGUCUUUCAGAUCAUCAGAGAAAACGGAUGCCAGCUGAAUAGCAUUCAACGUACCAUGCAUUUACUGGCACAAUAGGAAUUAUUUUUGUGUUCUAUGGCCAAAAUUGUUGUUAAAAUGUGCAUACCAACAGUCUUUGGAAGCAAGGACAUGGAAGGUUAACCCAUUCCCCAUAUUGCCGAUGGGAUCCUUCUGGCUACCUCAGAUUUCUAGCCAGAGGGCUGGGAAGGGAGGAAAGCUAUUGGACACCAGAGGUUGUACCGAGUGGACUCCUCAAAGGUUAAAAGAAGCCAAGAAGGGAAGAAGGAAAAAGAACAGAACGAGUUAACUGAAAAAAAAUAGCUAGCAAGCUCAGUCCAAAGAUAAGAUGCUGGCCCCAUCCAAGGACACUGCCCACAGCUAAGACUUGGCUGACAGCCAAGAAAAGGGGGGCCUGAAUGUGCCCAAGCAAUUAUGAGAUCUGCAAAGCACUGCCAGGCAUUAAUGAAAUGUGUUAGGUUUCUUUUCUCACAGAUAAAAGAACUGCUACCCAAAGACCCUAGCAGCCCUGCCAUUCAUUGAAACAAGGAGACUGAGUCUAUGUAAAGUCCAUCUACAAAAGACUGCUUUGGCUCCCCACUGGAAAGGCCCUUUCCAAGUGCUGUUAACCACCAACACCGCUGUGAAGUGCUAAGGACUACCUGCCUGGACCCAUGCUUCUCACUGUAAAAAGACCCCUCCACCUCGGGAGGACUCUCCGGCUGAUAAGCCUAUUUCUCCUUCUAGCUCUGCUGUGCCUCCUGGACAGCAGGAAAAAGGAAAAAAGACAAGGUGAAGUGCUAGUAACAUCUCCCUUGUCCACUGACAGACCUACUGUGCCUUUGGAUUUUUCUAGAAGAAGCAAAACCAUUACAGGGUGAUGUGCUAGUAACCUCUCCCCUGUAUGAUGCUAAACCACACUGUUUCAGGAAAAGAGAAGAAGGAACACUUGCUUCAUUGGAACCACCAAAGUCCAGGGACUCCUGACUACAAGAGACAUUAAGAACUGACCCUGGUGAAGAAACAAAGAAUUAUAUACUGGCAGGAAGAAAAGCAUGUGGGACCCAUGCUUGGGAAUGUGGUAUAGUACUACACCAAAAAGAAAUGUAUUAGGAUAUCAAUGAACUGUGAUUAACACUACACUAGGGACUGUUAAAUUUUCAUUACCCUUAUUCAGUUUCCAGAUCACCUCUACAUACCCAAAUUGCUCACAGGGGGCUGCCAUUAGAUUAGCACAACAGAGGGCUUGGGUUAUUUCCUCUAGAAAGAAAAGUGACUUGACCGGAUCCCUAUGGGAUGGGGCCAAUAGUGCAGCAGCAGUUUGGAAUAUUUUUAAGAACCAAAACAUGAUGAGAAAUUGGGGCACAGCUAACCCAGGUACAGGCUGGAAUUGGUGAGUUACAUGUUAUCUCCGCCCUUAGUUCAAUGACCCAGAAGUUGCUGACAGAGAUGGUAUUGAAUAUCACUGAGGCUGGGAAGGCAUUGCAGUGGGAUCUAGCAUGUUCAGAAAUUCAGGAUUUCCUGAAUGACCAGCUAAUGGCCAUUUGGAAUGAUCUAGAGCAUCAGGCUUGGCCCACUGCCCUUACAGACACAUCAGGAGUACCAUCUGAUCUGUGGCCAUGGAGACAUACUUGGAAACUUUCUGGGUGGAAGUGCGGACGUUCUCAAUGCUCCUUCCAAGCAUAUGAACCAAUUAGGGGGGGACUUGUGCUCGCAUCGGGGAAAAAUGUUGUUUCUAUGUUAAUCAUUCUGGCUUAAUUGAGCAGGAUUUACAAGCCAUUAAGAAUGCUGCUGUUGUUUUCUGUGCUUUAUCUCUUGAUCACACCUUUAGUUUUGAGGACCUCCUUCCAGACCUUGGGUCAUGGUUUACGGGGCUCUUUCAAACAAUUGUUAAAUGGAGUCUUUUCUUUCUAUGUGUUAUUUGGACAAUGAUACAAUGUGCCAAAUGCCUGUGUAAUGCUAUGAUCAAAAGCUCUGCUGUCCAUAAGAAAACCCAGUAUCUGUCCCUCCAGCUUGAUCGCAAAUUGCAUAACGGGCCUGACAAUUUUUGAAUUUGUCAGGCCCGAAGGGGGGACUGUGAAAGUUACUAGUGACCCCUCCCCUUAACAGAGCAGCCUUUAUGUUAACCAAGUGGCCAUUAGGGGGAAGCAGACACUUCAAGUACACAGUAGCCUGAACUUUUCAACUGUCUUCCCUUCAAGGCCUUAAGGUAGUUGGAGCUGGUCCCAAGCCAGUUUUCACUGACCAGAUAGCAAAAGCACGGGUCUGACAACCACCAAUCAAGUGUUAACACUGCAAAGACCUUUGUCUGAAUGUGUAUAAAGGAUCUGUAAAAUGUGUGUAAGACAGAGUUUUUGUACUAAGGUGCAAAGCUCUCCUUUCUUCUGCAGAAUAAAGCAACUCUUCCUUA